Molecule: long non-coding RNA, 2422 nt
Organism: Armigeres subalbatus
Lineage: Eukaryota; Metazoa; Arthropoda; Insecta; Diptera; Culicidae
Exons: 3
Source: RefSeq, a predicted model, not a curated record
AAGAUAAUAAUAAUAAUGCUGUCCAAUGAGCAGCUCGAAGUAGCUCGAAGUUGUUCCCGUCCUGCUUGUUCUUUUUUGUCAACAAAUGGGCAUGAGCAGGACAGGGAGAAACUUCGAGCUACUUCAAGCUCUCAUUGGACAGCACUAAUAUAACGUUAAUGAGGCUUUCUGUUUGACGCGAGAUUUGACGGCAACCGGAGAAGGCAAUCCUGAAGCAGGCUGAAGCAGGCCACGAACAUUGGGAGUCAUUUUUUUUUUCUGCUCGGCUACGCAGUGUGCAAAUUGGAACAAAGGCAAGAACAAUGGUUCGGAACAAUGCAACCAGCGAAAAACAUUUCGCCAGGAAUCUCUACUUCAAUUCGAAUCGAUUGGACGAUUGCCCUCGAGGAGGAAGAAAAUCAGCGUCCAAGAGAAUUAAAGGCCAGUCUGAUAGUAGUCGCAGCUCUACAAAGUGGAAGCAGUAUUUCCCUGAUGGUGUAUGGCGGUUGAAUGCGGGGACAGUUCUGAGGAGGUGCUAAAAUCGAUUCAUCACUGCUGCAUGCUUUUUUACGCUUAUUGCCGAAUUAUGCAUCACAAAGAGUGGAUAGUGAAUGAUCGUUAACAUCCUUGGGAGGAAGACCGUUUUGCGGCCGUGGAGGAUUCCGCGGACGUGGUGGUUUCCGUGGCGGUUUACAUCGUGAUGGCCCACCGCACCACGGGGACAAUGAUGAAUGGCGUCGAUCAGGAGCCGAUGGCGAAUAUGAUUUACGUCGUCGUUCUGGAUCACGUGAACCAGGAAUCGAUAGAUCUCGCUCCCGUUCACCGAGGCGACGCAGUCCGGCUGAUUCUGAUUCGUCUUCUUGUAGGAAUGGCAUGUUAUCGAAUGCAAGAACGUUACCAGAAGAAGAUGUGCAGAAGCGCAUAUCGACGUCAUCGUCGCACGCAAUCUUCCUCGGCCUGCCGGGAUCGACGUCAUCGGUGGCAUCGUCGGAUGAUGCCAGCGUUCAGACGCGUCCACUGCGUAAUCUCGUGUCCUACCUGAAGCAGAAAGAAGCGGCCGGCGUUAUUUCCUUGUUCAAUAAAGAAACGGAAGCAACCGGUGUGCUCUACUCAUUCCCGCCAUGCGAUUUUUCGACAGAAUUGUUGAAACGAACAUGUCACAACCUCACUGAAGGAAGACCAUCUGGUAAUCGUGGUGGUCCGAGGAGGUGCCUUCUUUCUGGUAUUGCAGCAACUAGUCCAUAUUGGCACAGCAUACAACAUGGCUGGUCUAAAAAUUUGUUUGUAAAUCAAAAGUUUGUUCUUAAGACAAAGUUUUGAUUUUCUGUUUAUAAGUGGAUCUUAAUAUAUUUGUUACAUUUGGCUUGAAGGCCUUCAAUGUGAUUUUUAAAAGUUAAUUUUUGAUCUAGCAGAAGUCCUAAAUAUUUAGAAUUCUGAUAGUUUACCUGCAGUGAGCGAUCUGAUAAAUAAUUUUGGAUCAGUUUAAUAGCUGGUUGGUUGUUUGCUCAUUGUUUGUUGAUUGCUUCAUUGUUGGUUGAUUGAUUGGUUAUUUAGUUGAUUGGUUGCUUGAUUGGUUGGUUGGUUGAUUGUUGGUUGGUAGAAUGAUUAAUUGGUUGGUUGCUGCUUGAUUUGUUAGUUGGUAGAACUGUUGAAUGGUUGGUUGCUUCACAGUUGGUUGGUUGCUUGAUUGGUUGGUUAUUUGGUUGAUUGGUUGUUUGACUGGUUGAUUGAUUGGUUGGUCGGCUGGUUAGUUGAUUAGUUGUUUUGUUGGUUGCUUGAAUGGCUGAUUGUUUGGUUGCUUGAUUGGUUGAUUGGUAACUUGCUGGAAUGGUUGAUUAGUUAAUUAUUCAGUUGAUUGAUUGCUUGAUUGGUUGGUUGAUUAGUUGAUUGCUUGAUUAGUUGGUUGGUUGAUUGUUGGUCGGCUGCUUGAUGGGUUGAUUAGUUGUUUUGUUGAUUGCUUGAUUGGUAGAUUAGUUGGUUGGUUGCUUGAUUUGUUAGUUGGUAGAAUGAUUGAUUGAUUGGUUGGUUGCUGCUUGAUUUGUUAGUUGGUAGAACUGUUGAAUGGUUGAUAGUUGGUUGGUUGCCUGACUGGUUGAUUGAUUGUUGGUCGGCUGGUUAGUUGAUUAGUUGAUUUGUUAUUUGGUUGAUUGGUUGGUUAUUUGAUUGAUAGGUUGCUUGACUGGUUGGUUGAUUGGUUACUUGAUUAGUUGGUCGGCUGGUUAGUUGAUUAGUUGUUUUGUUGGUUGCUUGGAUGGCUAAUUGGUUGGUUGCUUGAUUGAUUGAUUAGUUGGUUGGUUGCUUGAUUGGUUGGUUGGUUGAUUGUUGGUUGGUAGAAUGAUUAAUUGGUUGGUUGCUGCUUGAUUUAUUAGUUGGUAGAACUGUUGAAUGGUUGGUUGCUUCACAGUCGGUUGGUUGCUUGAUUGGUUGGUUAUUUGGUUGAUUG